RNA transcript from Brachypodium distachyon (stiff brome), 2241 nucleotides. RefSeq lists it as uncharacterized. The transcript has 2 exons. The record is from RefSeq and is a predicted model, not a curated record. NCBI's taxonomy places the organism in Eukaryota, Viridiplantae, Streptophyta, Magnoliopsida, Poales, Poaceae.
AACCGUCUGGAAACGUCCAACCGGCAUGUUUAUUCAGCGCAAUCCCGACCAGUUCUAUCUGAAUUCGGAUUCCCUUGUCCAUAAAACUCAAGUCGAAUUCCUAGCGUUUCUUUCUCCUCUUUCGAUCUCGGCCGAAACUUCCGACCCCUGCCGAAACUUCCGAUCUUGCGAAUUUGCCCUAAUUCGAUUUCUCGCGCGAUUCCUUUCUUGCCGCCUCCCCCAACCAUGGCCGCAGCAGCGCAUCUGCUCCCCCGCGCGCGCCUUGACCAUCUUGGCCGCUGAUGAUCCCGUCGAGAUCUUGGUGCGGCGCGACCGUGUCGCCAAGAAAGGCCUUGACGAGGAGCAACGCCGCGAUGAGACUGACACCCGUGGAUGGUCGUCGGCCAUCCCGGACCACAGCUCGUUUCUGCGCCGCCGCGGAGGAUAUUAAUUGGGGUUUGACCUUCACUAUUUGUCAAGGUAAUUUUCUUGCCAAACUGCACCGCUCCAUCCCAAUAUAUGCUUUUAGUUAAAGUUUAGGGUAACUACGAAACAAAGAUGGAUAUGUGUUUUCUUUACUUUUCAGCAGUUGUACAUCUCUGUGCUUGUUUUAGGAGUUCUUAUUGCAUCUGGUCAUGACAUAUUUUCCUCAUAAUUAGUGAAAUAUUUCAAAUAUAAGCCAUUGCGUUAUUCUUGUUGUUUACAGGACUGUACCUUUCCAUAUAUAGACAAUAGCAACAUUAGGGAUGUUAUAGACUGUGCGAUUUCUUUUGAGAAGUCUUUCCUGGUGCUGUCUUAUUCACCAGACAUUUGUAGAACUAUGCAAUACUUGCAAAAGUUCUUGAUCACUCUUGUUUUGUUAUGCAUAUACAAAAAAAGGGAUAUUAGUGAUAUGUGCUUAUGUCUUGAAAGGAUUUUUCUUGACUUGAACAUUAAGAAGCUAGAAAAGAUAUCUGCGUUUGAACUUCACUAUUUCCAACUGUCAUUUUCUUGCUAAAUUUUGUUGCCCCAUCAUAUGCUUUUAGUUUAAGUUUAGUUUGGCUAAAAACUUCAGAGUAUGUAUCAUCUUUUUAUAUUUCAGUAGUUUUGUCAUUGGCAAUACAGAUGCUCAAAAUUCAUUCUGAGGUAUUUGCUUCUACUUAGGAUUCACCUGCAUGUAAGAUGAUUGAACCUUUUGUUGAGUAACACGCAAUAGUCCAUGCAAGACGAUACAUCUUGCUCCUUUAUUCAAAUUACACACAAUAAAAAAUGUUUCUGUAGUGUGAGACGCAGCAACCUCACAAAUUCUUGGAACUGCAUGCUUUGGUUUAGUGUUCUAAUGUUUCCUCUAAUUUGCUGAGACCCGUAAAAGGUUAGUGUCGCUCUUACUCUACACUAUUUCCAGUCUUGUUUCUUACUCCCUCCGAUCCUAAAUUGUUGUCGAAAUAUUACAUGUAUCUAGACGCCUUUUAAUAGUAGAUACAUUCAUAUUUGGGCAAAUUUGAGACAAGGAUUUAGGAUCGGAGAUAGUAAUUGAUUAGUCUGGUUGUCUCCCUUGCAGGAUCAUGCGGUGCUUUUCUGUAUGAUAAUAAUGCAUACAUUCAUUUGAUGGCGAGGUAUAUUGAUUGGAUUUUGCUCCGGUCGUCAUCAUUUCAGUUCAGAAAGCAUGUUCUACGGAUCUAAAAUCCUUACGCCUAGUGUUACCUAAUCCCUGUACUAACUCCCUUCACUCAAUUCCCAAACAAGCUGAUGGGGAUUUUGGUCUAGAAGCCAUUGAAGAUCGAUCAGAAAUACUUUUGAAGAGGAAGGAGCAAUGAAAGCCCUCGGAGCCUAAGGCCAUGUCCAACGCAGGAGUUAGUACGGGCGCUAGUGAAAUAAUUCCCACCCGUUUUGCCAUCGUGGGACUCAAUCCCGAGCACAUGGCUGGCUUCGGCUCUUCCUGUGGAGUCGGGCGCUCAGCCAUUUCUUCCAGUGAGUUCUGUGGAUGGAAAUCUUCACCAAGCGUCGGUAGAGCAGCUGAUUGCAUUGGAAGUAGACUGCUGGAGUAGACGGGAGCUGAUAUCGAAUUGUUAAGCGCCUGUGCACUUUCCACUGGACAUGGCCUAAAAGGAAGUUCUGAGGCCCUGAAUUAUAUUAGUUUCAUUUUUCCUUUUUUCUUGCGCAUAUUAUUUUUGUUUUUACGCCUGUAAUAUUUCAGAACUUGAACGUGCCUGUGUCAGUAUUGUACUGUGUAUGAAUCUAGUACUGUAAAUAAUAUUUAGUGGCAUAUAUCUGAAUUUCGUA